GUAACACGUGGGCAACCUACCUUAUAGUUUGGGAUAACUCCGGGAAACCGGGGCUAAUACCGAAUAAUCUAUUUUACUUCAUGGUGAAAUACUGAAAGACGGUUUCGGCUGUCGCUAUAAGAUGGGCCCGCGGCGCAUUAGCUAGUUGGUGAGGUAACGGCUCACCAAGGCGACGAUGCGUAGCCGACCUGAGAGGGUGAUCGGCCACACUGGGACUGAGACACGGCCCAGACUCCUACGGGAGGCAGCAGUAGGGAAUCUUCCACAAUGGGCGAAAGCCUGAUGGAGCAACGCCGCGUGAGUGAAGAAGGUUUUCGGAUCGUAAAACUCUGUUGUAAGGGAAGAACAAGUACAGUAGUAACUGGCUGUACCUUGACGGUACCUUAUUAGAAAGCCACGGCUAACUACGUGCCAGCAGCCGCGGUAAUACGUAGGUGGCAAGCGUUGUCCGGAAUUAUUGGGCGUAAAGCGCGCGCAGGCGGUCCUUUAAGUCUGAUGUGAAAGCCCACGGCUCAACCGUGGAGGGUCAUUGGAAACUGGGGGACUUGAGUGCAGAAGAGGAAAGUGGAAUUCCAAGUGUAGCGGUGAAAUGCGUAGAGAUUUGGAGGAACACCAGUGGCGAAGGCGACUUUCUGGUCUGUAACUGACGCUGAGGCG
This 657-nucleotide ribosomal RNA is filed under the name uncultured Bacillus sp. Its description in RNAcentral is "bacterial SSU rRNA". It matches the Rfam family "Bacterial small subunit ribosomal RNA", at positions 110 to 753 of the family's 1533-position model. Lineage: Bacteria; Bacillati; Bacillota; Bacilli; Caryophanales; Bacillaceae. The record is from RNAcentral.